CGAACCGUGCGAACGUUGUUCGGAAUCACUGGGCUUAAAGGGCGCGUAGGCGGGCCGGCCGGUCGGAGGUGAAAGCCCCCAGCUCAACUGGGGAAGCGCCCCCGAUACCGCCGGCCUGGAGGGGGUAGGGGCGUGCGGAACUUCCGGUGGAGCGGUGAAAUGCGUAGAUAUCGGAAGGAACACCGGUGGCGAAGGCGGCACGCUGGGCCCGCCCUGACGCUGAGGCGCGGAAGCCAGGGGAGCGAACGGGAUUAGAUACCCCGGUAGUCCUGGCCCUAAACGAUGGGCACUGGGUAGCGGCCCCCCAUGGGGCCGCUGCCGGAGCGAAGGUGUUAAGUGCCCCGCCUGGGGAGUAUGGUCGCAAGGCUG
RNAcentral lists this ribosomal RNA (369 nucleotides) under uncultured organism. RNAcentral's name for it is "bacterial SSU rRNA". It matches the Rfam family "Bacterial small subunit ribosomal RNA", at positions 526 to 896 of the family's 1533-position model. The record is from RNAcentral.